Non-coding RNA from Xylariaceae sp. FL1651, 128 nucleotides. NCBI's taxonomy places the organism in Eukaryota, Fungi, Ascomycota, Sordariomycetes, Xylariales, Xylariaceae. The record is from the annotation of a GenBank genome assembly.
GCCCGGUUAGCUCAAUCGGUAGAGGUUAGUACAUUCUGAUCCAUGCACUAUUAUUGAAUUACCCACUAACAGUAAAUAGCGUGAGACUCUUAAUCUCAAGGUUGCGGGUUCGACCCCCGCAUCGGGCU